GACCACCUGCGGCAAGCACUGAGUCAGCCAUGGAGCACAGGUGAAGGUGAUUCAGCUGUGUGACCAGAAGGGGUGGAGCCUGGCUGCACCUCUCCUAGACCCCAUUUAAGGGCUGACUGCCACUAGGAAGGAUCUCUUCUGGAGAUUCCUCCUCUGUGGAGUCUUUCCUGUGAACCUAGAUCUUCAGAUACAGGUGACAUGGCAGUCACAUGCCUGAUGCUCAGGAGGACGACUCCAGACCACUGCUUCUGGAGACUUCCACUGCCCCAGCUACAGGACGGAGUUUUCCUCCAGUCCUUCUGCAGUUGGCCAGGACUCUAUCACUGGUGCUGUCCCAGACUGAGUGUUUAUUAGUGCUGCUUAUGGGCAGACCUUUCUUCAUCUGGCUCUGAGGCAGAACUUUCCCUCAGGGUGACUUCCCAGCAGAGCCUGAAGCCAUUGGUCUCUGUGCCAUCACCUCUGUCCUGCUGGACGUAACCCAACUGGGAGCUGGACUGGGAGCUUUGUAUAGGCUGAAAAAUGGCCUUCUCUUCAUGGGAGCAUAUCAGCCAGAGGCGUGUCUUGAGCAGUGCUCCCUUGACUAACAACUGCAGCCAGAGCCUGGCAUGCUGCUGAGUACUUCUGGAUGGACACCCAAGUCUGAGGGCCUCUUGGAUGCAUGAACACUGGCAGUCUGACUGUUCCUGGCUGCAGCCUGCGUCCUGGCUUUCAGCUGCUGAUGUUAACUGUGUUGACUGCCUGAUCUCAGGUGGCCCUUUUAGUGACAACUGAUGAUACUUUUCAUGAUAUUAUCAGUAGAUGAUUUUCCUGCCUUGCUGCAUGCCUGGACAACUGUUGCCUUAGUCAUAUUCAUAUAUUCUAACUGUUAAUAUUACCUGUUUGCCUUUAUCUGUGGGGAGCUAUAUUUUGUUUCACUCCAGAGCUUUUAUGGCUGUAGCCUUGCGCUAUUAUCCUUUAUAUACGCCCAUAACAGCAUGAGGUUUAGGGAGCUUCCUUCCUUUCUUCCUUCCCUUUCUUGAGGUGAAAGAAGUGCUGGUGAUGGCUGGGCUGUGGCCAAGCCUUACAGCCUUCCUGCCUGAGGAGGGAGUUUACCCUUCUGUCCUCCACAUACUUUCUUCAAGAAAAGGACAAACACUGGAAAAUUAUUUCCCUCCAAGAUUUCCAAUGGGAUUUUAAUUACCUAAAGUAGGUUCUUAUUUCCAUGCAACCCAUCUCUUUACAUUUCUCUUAUACACAGAUACAUAAAUACACAUAUAAUAUAUAUAUAUAUGCAUAUAUACAUUUAGGUGUUUAAUUUUGAACAAGCUUUCACAACUGUCCAUAACCAAGGUUGUUUUUUGUUAGCUUCUUACUGCUGAAGCCAGGGCUACUAUGUGGCAAUAGAAGAAUGCUUUGCUUGUGGGGCUGAAUGACAGACUUGUAGCUUAUAGUAAAACUGCCUAUGGGUUUAUUACCUUGCUGUCAUGCAUUUCAAAAGCUACAGUAGAAUGGACCUGAAUAAUCCCUGAGCCACUACUUGCAUAUGUGAUGAUAAAUGUCAGAUCACUGUUGAGUUUGAGCAGCUGAGAAGAUAAGGGUAAGUAAAAGAUCUUGGGUAAAACAGCAUCAGCAAAAAAUCUGCCUGUGUGACACCACACUUUUUCAUAGCAUGAAAAGAUUGUCUAUGACAUCUGCAACCACUCCUAAGACAAGAGCUAACUUUUUUCUGCUCUUGUGUACCUAGGGUCAUAAAAUCAUCGAAUCGUAGAAUUGUUUGAGUUGGAAGAGGCCAUUUAAGGCCUCUGGCACAGAUUCCACCAAAUGUGUGGUGGAAGCCCCAUCCCUGGAAACAUUCAAGGUCUGGCUGGACAGGGCUCUGAGCAACCUGAUCCAGCUGUAGAUGUCCUUGUUCAUUGCAGGGGAGCUGGAACAGAUGUCUUUCAAAGGUCCCUUCCAACUGAAAAGAUUCCGUGAUUUUCUAUUUAUUUGUGGUGUUUGCAUGCUUAUCACACAAGCAUAAAUGCAUCAUCCUGGAUUCUUUAUCACACAGUUUUUCAGAGUGUCUCCAAAGAAUUGGUAGUCUUCAAUAUGCAAAGUAGUUCUCUAGUUUGAUGACUGUC
This is a long non-coding RNA of Tympanuchus pallidicinctus (lesser prairie-chicken), 2099 nucleotides long. RefSeq lists it as uncharacterized. The transcript is spliced from 4 exons. The record is from RefSeq and is a predicted model, not a curated record. Lineage: Eukaryota; Metazoa; Chordata; Aves; Galliformes; Phasianidae.